CGGCCGCGGGACCCCGCCCCGCCCGCCGCCCGGUUGCCAUGGCGACGCCGUCGCGCCGAGGCCCGCGGAACCGGCUGAGCGACUCGGGCGCGCCGCGGGGAGGCUCGCGGGACGCUCCGGUAGGCGAGCCUUGGCCUCAGCAUGGAGGGGAGGGCCACCGCGUCCACCCCUGCAGCGCUGCCUUACUACGUGGCCUUCUCCCAGCUGCUGGGCCUGACCUUGGUGGCCAUGACUGGCGCUUGGCUUGGUCUGUACCGAGGCGGCAUUGCCUGGGAGAGCGACCUGCAGUUCAAUGUGCACCCGCUCUGCAUGGCCAUAGGCCUGAUCUUCCUGCAGGGAGAUGCCCUGCUGGUUUACCGUGUCUUCAGGAAUGAAGCCAAACGCACCACCAAGGUCCUGCACGGACUGCUGCACGUCUUUGCGCUCAUCAUCGCUCUGGUUGGCUUGGUGGCGGUGUUCGACUACCACAGGAAGAAGGGCUACGCUGACCUGUACAGCCUGCACAGCUGGUGUGGGAUCCUGGUCUUUGUCCUGUACUUCGUGCAGUGGCUGGUGGGCUUCAGCUUCUUCCUCUUCCCUGGAGCCUCGUUUUCCCUGAGGAGCCGCUACCGCGCGUCACACGUCUUCUUUGGCGCCACCAUCUUCCUCCUCUCCGUGGGCACCGCCCUGCUGGGCCUGAAGGAGGCCCUGCUGUUCAAGCUCGGGCCUGGGGAUGUGUCAGUGAUGCCUGCUGCCAAAAACUGGGUUGGAUUUGUAUGCAACUUCAGGAGAGGAUAAUCCAGCUGAUCUCGACACAGUGCAAUGGCUUUCACAUGGAACAGACCAAGGGAGUUUAUUUGUGUUCAGGGUAUGGAGACUUCAGCUUGAACUGUAUAGAUCUGAGCGCUCUGUAUCAGGAAUCAUCAAUACCUCACUCCACUUUCGACCCCAGCUAGUAUGGAUGGAGAACAGCCCCUCUCCCUACUCUCCCGAGGCUUGUUUAAAGGAACUCACCACCUCAGCAUCACCAUAGAAAGCUGCCAGAUCCAGUGGGGUACGGCCAUUCUUGUCAGCAUGGUCUGUGGCAGCUCCGUUAUCCACCAGAGAACGUACUACUGAGAGAUGGCCCUUCAAACAAGCCCAGCUGAGGGCUGUCAAUCCUUCUUUGUCCAUGAGAGCAAUGGAGGCACCUGCAAAGGCAAGUGAUAGCACAGGGCUGAGGAGACACGGAAACGCACAGCAGGCAGGGAAGUGUGUUGAAGGGGCAUGCUCCACCAAAUGACACCGCUUGCUUCUGGACUACUUCCAUGUUAAGACUGAUCCUGGUAUGCCAAUUAUGUCUCAAUAAAACUGUUAAAAGUUCAUCCUACAAGCUUUCACUAACACAGAUUCCAGUUGUUUCAUUGGGUAUUCAAGGUCAUCCACAAUCUAUUCCCAAUUACUCUCUAUAAUUAAGUUUUAUUAUUCCCCUGUGAGAAUCCUCUACUUCAGCCAAAUGGAUGUGCUCACUGCCUCUCGAGGCUCCCAGAAAUCCUCCUGCAUCCUCACUCUCGGUCACGUUGCUCCCUAUGUGGAAGAGCUCUUCUUCUCCCAAGACUUGCCUCCCAUCCUCCCAUCCUCCAGGAACUAUCUCCAUCCUCCUGCCUCUAAGAAGCUUCUCAUGGUUCACUGCUACCUCAUCUUAAAUAUGCUUAACGUAAGUCAACUUAUUCCAUUAUUUAUCUAUUCUUAUGUAUCCUAUUUGCAGGUAAUAAAUUCUCAAUGAGCA
Sapajus apella (tufted capuchin) is the source of this 1747-nucleotide RNA transcript. It is a transcript of the gene named cytochrome b561, with no coding region annotated. NCBI's taxonomy places the organism in Eukaryota, Metazoa, Chordata, Mammalia, Primates, Cebidae. The record is from RefSeq and is a predicted model, not a curated record. The transcript has 7 exons.